This 253-nucleotide ribosomal RNA is filed under the name uncultured bacterium. Its description in RNAcentral is "partial 16S ribosomal RNA". It matches the Rfam family "Bacterial small subunit ribosomal RNA", at positions 524 to 776 of the family's 1533-position model. The record is from RNAcentral.
UACGUAGGUGGCAAGCGUUGUCCGGAAUUAUUGGGCGUAAAGCGCGCGCAGGCGGUCCUUUAAGUCUGAUGUGAAAGCCCUCGGCUCAACCGAGGAGGGUCAUUGGAAACUGGAGGACUUGAGUGCAGAAGAGGAGAGUGGAAUUCCUGGUGUAGCGGUGAAAUGCGCAGAUAUCAGGAGGAACACCCGUGGCGAAAGCGGCUCUCUGGGACGGUACUGACGCUGAGACGCGAAAGCGUGGGGAGCAAACAGG